This 29-nucleotide small RNA is filed under the name Bombyx mori (domestic silkworm). RNAcentral describes it as "ovarian small RNA-14337". The record is from RNAcentral. Lineage: Eukaryota; Metazoa; Arthropoda; Insecta; Lepidoptera; Bombycidae.
CGCAGUGUCACCGCUGCCAGGCCUUCGGU